AAAUGCGAUAAGUAAUGUGAAUUGCAGAAUUCAGUGAAUCAUCGAAUCUUUGAACGCACAUUGCGCCCGCCAGAAUUCUGGCGGGCAUGCCUGUUCGAGCGUCAUUUCAACCCUCGAGCUCCCCUUGCGGGGGGAGCCCGGCGUUGGGGACGCGGCGCCAACAGCGCCGGCCCCGAAAUGGAGUGGCGGCCCGUCCGCGGCGACCUCUGCGUAGUAACAUCCACUCGCACCGGGACCCGGGCGCGGCCACGCCGUAAAACACCCCACCUUCCGAAUGUUGACCUCGAAUCAGGUAGGAAUACCCGCUGAACUUAAGC
This 317-nucleotide unclassified non-coding RNA is filed under the name plant metagenome. RNAcentral describes it as "partial contains 5.8S ribosomal RNA, internal transcribed spacer 2, and large subunit ribosomal RNA". The stretch from base 1 to 104 matches the Rfam family "5.8S ribosomal RNA", at positions 51 to 154 of the family's 154-position model. The record is from RNAcentral.